GGAAUAUUGGUCAAUGGACGCAAGUCUGAACCAGCCAUGCCGCGUGAAGGAUGAAGGUCCUCUGGAUUGUAAACUUCUUUUAUUUGGGAAGAAAUCCAUUUUUUCUAAAGUGGUUGACGGUACCAGAUGAAUAAGCACCGGCUAACUCCGUGCCAGCAGCCGCGGUAAUACGGAGGGUGCAAGUGUUAUCCGGAUUCACUGGGUUUAAAGGGUGCGUAGGUGGGCAGGUAAGUCAGUGGUGAAAUCUCCGGGCUCAACCCGGAAACUGCCAUUGAUACUAUCUGUCUUGAAUAUCGUGGAGGUGAGCGGAAUAUGUCAUGUAGCGGUGAAAUGCUUAGAUAUGACAUAGAACACCAAUUGCGAAGGCAGCUCACUACGCGAAUAUUGACACUGAGGCACGAAAGCGUGGGGAUCAA
This 416-nucleotide ribosomal RNA is filed under the name uncultured bacterium. RNAcentral's name for it is "bacterial SSU rRNA". It matches the Rfam family "Bacterial small subunit ribosomal RNA", at positions 358 to 771 of the family's 1533-position model. The record is from RNAcentral.